GUAUAAAAGCAAUAUCACACUUGUAAUCGUGAUGUUGGUCUGAUAUUGGGAUUAAACAGCGCUCCUGUUCAUCUGAUGUUGCUUUAUCAAUAAAUGAUUAUAUUAACAUGUGAAAUGUUUUGAGAAAUCUCAAUGAAACCACAUUAAACCAUCUUAAACCUGUCACUGCUGAAGCGUUUGCAUAGAGAGAGUGUUUUACAUGAGCGACACACGCUUCAGUGCUCUGCAUGUGUUUAUAACUCUGUCAAACAUCAAACAUGAUCAACAACUGUUUUUCACUAGAACUGAACCUACAACCAACAAAAAUGACUUUCAGCACCAUAUUGAUCUGGACGCUGGCAGUAUUAUGUCGAGAAUCUGUUGGUCAGGUGACAGUGACUCAAACUCCCUCAGAGCUGCUCUCUCAAACUGGACAAUCAGUCACUGUAAACUGUAAAUUUAAUAGUGAUCCAGUCUCCUGGUGUAGUGGACAGUGUCUUGGCUGGUACUUACAGAAACCUGGAGAAACUCCUAAACUCCUGAUUUAUAGUGCAAAAACCCUCCAGUCAGGAACUCCAUCUAGAUUCAGUGGCAGUGGAUCUAACAGUGAUUUCACUCUGACCAUCAGUGGAGUCCAGACUGAAGAUGCUGGACAUUAUUACUGUCAGAGUUAUCACUACAUCAACAGUAAAUGGAUGUUCACACAGUGAUAAAGAGUCGUACAAAAACCUCCGUCAGUCAGAGUCACAGUGACUGAACUGAUACUGCAGCUGCUCACACACUUUCACACACUUUCACACACUACUGACACACAGAGGACAAACACAGGAACUACACAUGUGCUCAAAACUGACUUAUGACUGAAAUCAGCUCUAUUAGACUGUGAUCUGUCCUGUGACAGACGGGUUUGACUCAAAUAUGCUCAGAUUCAGAGAAAACAGAGUGUGUAAAUUUAUAUGAAAUCAA
Non-coding RNA from Megalobrama amblycephala (Wuchang bream), 945 nucleotides. The record is from the annotation of a RefSeq genome assembly. Lineage: Eukaryota; Metazoa; Chordata; Actinopteri; Cypriniformes; Xenocyprididae.